Molecule: long non-coding RNA, 5732 nt
Organism: Lagenorhynchus albirostris (white-beaked dolphin)
Lineage: Eukaryota; Metazoa; Chordata; Mammalia; Artiodactyla; Delphinidae
Exons: 5
Source: RefSeq, a predicted model, not a curated record
CUUAGGCUUGUUGUAGUGAACCACUGUAGAAUUUUAAACAUGAAGCAAAAAUUACAUGGACAUACUUGUUUUUGCAGCACUAAUCUCCUCAAUGGAAUUUUAAGUUCUGUGCUCCUUCUUGGUUCCUCAGGCAAACGAAGUCCUCCAGAACUUUCUGCUGUCACAGGUGGCAAUAGAGAAAUCCAUCCUGCAGGCAGAUAAAGCCCUCAGUGAUGGGGAGAAGGCUGUAGCAGAGGAGCAGGCCAGGAGGGAGACAGCUGAGAGGGAACAGGAGCUGCUGAAACACAAACUGCAGGAGCUGGAGCAGCAGACGGAAGCACGACAGAGGAGUCUCCAGGAAAACAUAGCCCAGCUGACAGAGAAGCUGGCGAGGAGAAGAGAAAAGCUACUGAGAGAGCACAAUAUGACGUUGGAGCAUAAGCUGAAGGUCCAGGAAGCUCUGCUUAAAGAAGGAUUUAGAAAGAAAUCUGAGGAGAUGAAUGCAGAGAUAAAUCGUUUGAAAAAUAUGAUUGAUAAUACUAAAGAUGAUGAUACUCCCUGGCUGGCAGUAGCCUUGGACAAAUUUGGCAAAAAGAUCUCUUCACUAUUGUGCGCUCCAGUCAAACUUCUUGGUCAUAUUGUGAGUGGUGUGAGCUCCCUAUUUAAAAUGAAGUAGCUCUUCUUUUAAAGAAAUUAUAGAUACACAAUAUAUGUACAUGCUCUGGCCUAUGUUUGGUGUGAAUGCUUUUCACUUGCAUUCAGCAAAUCUUUAAAUAUAAAAAGUGGUUACUAGAAAAUAUCAAUGCCUGGCCCACAUUAGAUAGAAUAAAUGCACUUUGAUAUAGCAUGUUCACUUUUAGGAAAUAUAUGUGUGCAAAAUCAUAUAUAUGUAUAUAUACAUACAUACAUACAAGAGGCCCGUUGAGGCAUCCCUUUUAAUGGCAAAAGAUUGGAAACUACUUAAAUGUCCAUCUAUAUAAACUGGUAAUAUACAUUUUCCAUGUACAUAUACUGGAAUACUAUGUAGCCAGUAAAAAAAUUGAUAGUGGAGGUUUAUAUGUAUAAAUAUAGAACAACCUUGAAGAUAUAUAGUAGAGUGAAAAAAAUGAGGUACAAAACAGUUUGUAUAAUCUGUUCACCAUAAAAAAUGCAAUUAUUAUGUGCACUCAUAUAUAUGUACACAUAGAACGCCUCUGGAAGAUUCAUUAGAAAGUGGUAUCAUUGGUUCCUUCUGGGGAGAACAGCUUGGCAUUCGUGAUGGAAGGGACACACACUUUUCAUUAUAUCCUCUAUCUUCUCAAUUCUGUAAAGAAAGCUUGUAUUAUCAUUUCUCAAAUGACAAAGAAAACAUAAAGUAUAAUACUAAAAAUGAUAAUAAAUGGAAUGUGAAAUUGACUAUUAGAUGAUGAAAUUGCUCAUUGCUUCUAGAAAUGACAUCAGUCUGUUCAAUGAGUUGGAUCAGAAUACUAGAAAGCAUAAAAUUUGCAUCCUAAUCUUGUUUUCACUUUGGCUGUGUUUUUAAUCCCUUAUAUUUCUUCAAAAAGAAGGUAUAAACUUUCCUGUUACCCCUUGAAAUCUCAGCUAGAGGAGAAUGCAGCUGACAUAUUUUGAACUGUUAUUGCCUAUAGCCAUAAUGCUAAGCUCUUUCGCUAGACUCUUUAAUCCUUCAAAUAACAUUAAGAAGCAUCUACGCUUAUUGUCAACAUUUUAAAGAUCUGAACGGAGAGGCUUAGCAAGUUAAACGAACUUGCCUAAAGUUACAGACAGCAAGUAGCAGAGGAAAACAGCAGCACAUUUUAGAGGCAGUAUUUCACAUUGGGAAGAGCAAUAUAGGAAAGCACCAGACAUCCUGGGUUUGUAGAACUGAACAUAGUUCUGACUGGCUGGAAUCUGGAGUGGGUAGAAGGAAGUAGCACGGGGCUAGAUACUGGAGGAAGACAGGUCGCUGUAAGGAGCUUAGGCUUGUUGUAGUGAACCACUGUAGAAUUUUAAACAUGAAGCAAAAAUUACAUGGACAUACUUGUUUUUGCAGCACUAAUCUCCUCAAUGGAAUUUUAAGUUCUGUGCUCCUUCUUGGUUCCUCAGGCAAACGAAGUCCUCCAGAACUUUCUGCUGUCACAGGUGGCAAUAGAGAAAUCCAUCCUGCAGGCAGAUAAAGCCCUCAGUGAUGGGGAGAAGGCUGUAGCAGAGGAGCAGGCCAGGAGGGAGACAGCUGAGAGGGAACAGGAGCUGCUGAAACACAAACUGCAGGAGCUGGAGCAGCAGACGGAAGCACGACAGAGGAGUCUCCAGGAAAACAUAGCCCAGCUGACAGAGAAGCUGGCGAGGAGAAGAGAAAAGCUACUGAGAGAGCACAAUAUGACGUUGGAGCAUAAGCUGAAGGUCCAGGAAGCUCUGCUUAAAGAAGGAUUUAGAAAGAAAUCUGAGGAGAUGAAUGCAGAGAUAAAUCGUUUGAAAAAUAUGAUUGAUAAUACUAAAGAUGAUGAUACUCCCUGGCUGGCAGUAGCCUUGGACAAAUUUGGCAAAAAGAUCUCUUCACUAUUGUGCGCUCCAGUCAAACUUCUUGGUCAUAUUGUGAGUGGUGUGAGCUCCCUAUUUAAAAUGAAGUAGCUCUUCUUUUAAAGAAAUUAUAGAUACACAAUAUAUGUACAUGCUCUGGCCUAUGUUUGGUGUGAAUGCUUUUCACUUGCAUUCAGCAAAUCUUUAAAUAUAAAAAGUGGUUACUAGAAAAUAUCAAUGCCUGGCCCACAUUAGAUAGAAUAAAUGCACUUUGAUAUAGCAUGUUCACUUUUAGGAAAUAUAUGUGUGCAAAAUCAUAUAUAUGUAUAUAUACAUACAUACAUACAAGAGGCCCGUUGAGGCAUCCCUUUUAAUGGCAAAAGAUUGGAAACUACUUAAAUGUCCAUCUAUAUAAACUGGUAAUAUACAUUUUCCAUGUACAUAUACUGGAAUACUAUGUAGCCAGUAAAAAAAUUGAUAGUGGAGGUUUAUAUGUAUAAAUAUAGAACAACCUUGAAGAUAUAUAGUAGAGUGAAAAAAAUGAGGUACAAAACAGUUUGUAUAAUCUGUUCACCAUAAAAAAUGCAAUUAUUAUGUGCACUCAUAUAUAUGUACACAUAGAACGCCUCUGGAAGAUUCAUUAGAAAGUGGUAUCAUUGGUUCCUUCUGGGGAGAACAGCUUGGCAUUCGUGAUGGAAGGGACACACACUUUUCAUUAUAUCCUCUAUCUUCUCAAUUCUGUAAAGAAAGCUUGUAUUAUCAUUUCUCAAAUGACAAAGAAAACAUAAAGUAUAAUACUAAAAAUGAUAAUAAAUGGAAUGUGAAAUUGACUAUUAGAUGAUGAAAUUGCUCAUUGCUUCUAGAAAUGACAUCAGUCUGUUCAAUGAGUUGGAUCAGAAUACUAGAAAGCAUAAAAUUUGCAUCCUAAUCUUGUUUUCACUUUGGCUGUGUUUUUAAUCCCUUAUAUUUCUUCAAAAAGAAGGUAUAAACUUUCCUGUUACCCCUUGAAAUCUCAGCUAGAGGAGACUUCACUUCCUCUCUUUGAGUUACACUUCUAAGGUAUUGGAAGAAAAUUACUAAACAUUAAGAAUAUGCACUGGUGAGAGGAAUCCCAUCAUUCUUGAAUGUUCAUUGAUUGACUCUCUGCUGCAGGCAAGGGCCAAAGAUGUGAUGUAUCAUUGAAGAACUGGAUGCCCUGAUAGUACUGGGGAUUAUAGACCCUGACGCAUGGAGGCCACCUGUUAGCAUUUAAACAUCAGAAGCCCAAGUACAUACCAUAGUGAUGAGAAUCAUGGUUUGUCUUAGCUGAGGCUGCUAUAACAAAAUUACCGUAGACUGGGUGGCUAAGACAAGAACGAUUAUUUUUCCCCGUUUCUGGAAGCUGUAAGUCCAAAAGCACGUGCCAGCACUGUUGUGUUGUUGGUAAGGGUCCUCUGGCAGCUUUACAGAUGGCAACUUUCUUACUGUGUCCUCACAUUUUUGGAAAAGGGAGGAGGCGGGUAGAGAACCUAAUGAUUCUUUGUUAUAAGGGCACUAAUCAGAUUCAUGAAGUCCCCAUACUCAUUACCUAAUUUCCUCCCCAAAGGCCCACUUCCAAGUACAUUGGAACAUUGGAAGUUAGGGUUUCCUCAAAUGAGUUUUGGAGAACACAAGCACUCAGUCUAUAAUGUGGUUGGAGUGGCAGCCAGCCAGACCUGAGCAGAGAAACCUCUGAAUAUGGCAAAUAGAACAGGGUGUCUGUAGAGUCAAAAGGGAGGGGAGGAAACAAUCAAAUGGAGACAAGGAUGUUUACCAGGAGGCUGAGAGGUAGCCUCAAUAAAAAAGACACAGUCCAUAGCCUUGAUCUAAACCAAUUUCCGAUCAUGAACCUAUCACCUGGAGGAGAGGGCAGGAUCCCAAGAGAAAAGACUCUGCAACUCUAGAACAAGGUUAAAUGAUAAUGAUUUCCCCAGUCCCCCUCCUAGGGGACCUCUGGAAAUUCACUUGUUACCUGUGUGCUGGGAAAUGGGAAUGGCCAAACGUUUCGGUGACUCUUGGAAUCAGGAUCCGAGUUUGCAGUGAUACUCAGAUCCUGAAAAGACUUCACAGUCUCCCUGUUAAAGCAGAGGCACACAGGAUCCUGGUAAUAAAUGCAGGCUUGGCUCAGGUGCCAUGCAACUAAUUUGGUCUCGUAUUUGUUUUCAAAUAAAAGUAAAGUUCAUCUGAGGACAGAAACCGUUACAUAUUUUUCUGUACAUCUUCAUAGAGUAUGUUUAGGCACAGAGUGUACUACAUAAGAAUCUGCUGGAAAAACAAAAGACUGACACAUGUGUGACUUAUCAUGCCAGAUUUCUAGGAACACUCUAAGCGUCUUUGGUAAUAGAUAGUUCGGAUUUUACACACUAGAUUAAGGUCUCUAAGGUGACCCUUUAAACCUUUAAGGUCUUAAAGGCUAGCAGAGCAAAAGAAACUUUUCUGGUGUAGUCUUCUCAGUGACUUCGUGUAUCACAGUCUCUGUGCCUCUGCAAGGAUGUUAACACGUCUUCACUGGAGCUUUUCUUUUUUUUUUUUUGCGGUACACGGGCCUCUCACUGUUGUGGCCUCUCCCGUUACGGAGCACAGGCUCCAGACGCGCAGGCUCAGGGGCCAUGGCUCACGGGCCCAGCCGCUCCGCGGCAUGUGGGAUCCUCCUGGACCGGGGCACAAACCCGUGUCCCCUGCAUCGGCAGGCAGACUCUCAACCACUGCUCCACCAGGGAAGCCCCUUCACUGGAGCUUUAAAUGACUCUAUCCAGUUGUGGCUUCAAGUGUUCAGAAGGAAGAAUGGCUUUGACUUUUAAGGAAGAAACCAUAUAGUAAUGAAUAGGUGGCCAAUAAAUGGUAGGCUUUAAUGAAAAAGCAAACUGUUCUAUAGAAAUAUUGUGUAUCUGUUCUCAUUGAGAGCUUGAAUUAAGCAGAUGUUCUAAUCCCUUAGACUAGAGACACCCCGAAUUGAAGAACAAAAGGAAGUCUUGACUUUUUUAGAUUUGACAUAUAAGGGACAUCAUACAGUACUUGUCUUUCUCUGUCUGACUUAUCUCACUUAGCAUAAUGGGCUCAAGGUCCAUCCAUGUUGUCGCAAUGGCAGAACAUCCUCCUUCCCUGUGGCUGAAUAAUUUUCCAUUGUGUACAUGUACCACUUCUUUUUUAUCCAUUCAUCUGUUGAUUAGUGUUUAGGUUGUUUUCAUAUCUCGGCUAUUGUGAAUAACAGUGCAAUAAACAUGAGAGUACAGAUA